Molecule: long non-coding RNA, 1104 nt
Filed under: Coturnix japonica (Japanese quail)
Lineage: Eukaryota; Metazoa; Chordata; Aves; Galliformes; Phasianidae
Description: lncRNA (ENSCJPG00005007210.1)
Source: RNAcentral
AUUCGUAAAAGCUAUGGAAUAUUUCACUGUAGGCCUGCCAGAAAUGUCGAUGGAAAUGUGAAUUGAAAGAAAGAGCUGUCUGAAGGUGACAGAAAGAUUGGAUGUGGCCCAGGUAAUCCACAGACUAAAAUAUAUGAAAAUUUAGUGACACAUAUGAAACGACUUCUGGAAAGAACUUUUACUCUGCUGAAAGGUGAUAUAAUUCAAGAGAUGCUGUAGUCUGCAAGAUGAACCCGUCUGAGCAAGAAACUCAUUUCAGAGAAGAGGUAGAAUAAAUUUUUCCCGAGUCAUCUCUCUGAGCCCAAACACUGUGCUAAGGGUUUUGGCCAGAACUACUCAACAUCUCUAUAGGAGCUUUGCUGGAUUGCAGCAUGCUGUGGUGUAGCUUUUUCCUGCCCUCUCAUGAAAAGAUCAUGGCACUUUUCAUGAAAACAUUCCUGCUCUGAAAACCAGUAUUUGCCAUCAUCCUUGUAAUAGCAUUUGUAUGGGAAAUCACAGCUUGAACCACUGAUUAAUUAGCUGAGGCAAGUGUUAGGUCAACUGCGGGAGCACAGGUGAGAGUAAUCUAUCUGUGCUCCCGGAAGGGGUGGACUUUGACUCCACCUCCUCUGAGACCUCAUUUAAGGGCUGACCACCACUGAGGCAGCAUCUCUUGGAGGUCACUCACCAGUGGAGACUGUCUCAGAUAUCAGGUCAAGGCAUUGACAUUAAUGAGUUUUCUUUACUAAUAACCUUUGACUAUUUAUCACCAUCUUGGUCAACAUCUUUAUAUUAGCCACCUUUACAGCACUGUUCUUGUUCCUGGAAAUGCCACAUCAGAAAAUGACACCCUUGUUCCUGAUGUGACCGGUGAAUCCAAUGGAAGAUCCCAUAGGAGGGCAGUGGAUUCCUUGGGUUGGAAUAGGCUACCAUCACUAUUUCCAGGAAGGUGUUAGAACUGGAAAACCAGAUGCUUCCACAGUACAACUUCUUGCUGUAGCUGUUCCAAACACAAGUAGCAUCCUCUCAUUCCAUUUCCAUCCUGAAACCCAGUUCUUUAUUAUCUUUGAGGAUCCAAACCUGCCUGAUAUUCAUGCACCCCUAUAUCAUCUUAGCCCGCAAUAG